RNAcentral lists this ribosomal RNA (1490 nucleotides) under Helicobacter pylori Hp H-36. Its description in RNAcentral is "bacterial SSU rRNA". It matches the Rfam family "Bacterial small subunit ribosomal RNA". Lineage: Bacteria; Pseudomonadati; Campylobacterota; Epsilonproteobacteria; Campylobacterales; Helicobacteraceae. The record is from RNAcentral.
GAGUUUGAUCCUGGCUCAGAGUGAACGCUGGCGGCGUGCCUAAUACAUGCAAGUCGAACGAUGAAGCUUCUAGCUUGCUAGAAGUGGAUUAGUGGCGCACGGGUGAGUAACGCAUAGGUCAUGUGCCUCUUAGUUUGGGAUAGCCAUUGGAAACGAUGAUUAAUACCAGAUACUCCCUACGGGGGAAAGAUUUAUCGCUAAGAGAUCAGCCUAUGUCCUAUCAGCUUGUUGGUAAGGUAAUGGCUUACCAAGGCUAUGACGGGUAUCCGGCCUGAGAGGGUGAACGGACACACUGGAACUGAGACACGGUCCAGACUCCUACGGGAGGCAGCAGUAGGGAAUAUUGCUCAAUGGGGGAAACCCUGAAGCAGCAACGCCGCGUGGAGGAUGAAGGUUUUAGGAUUGUAAACUCCUUUUGUUAGAGAAGAUAAUGACGGUAUCUAACGAAUAAGCACCGGCUAACUCCGUGCCAGCAGCCGCGGUAAUACGGAGGGUGCAAGCGUUACUCGGAAUCACUGGGCGUAAAGAGCGCGUAGGCGGGAUAGUCAGUCAGGUGUGAAAUCCUAUGGCUUAACCAUAGAACUGCAUUUGAAACUACUAUUCUAGAGUGUGGGAGAGGUAGGUGGAAUUCUUGGUGUAGGGGUAAAAUCCGUAGAGAUCAAGAGGAAUACUCAUUGCGAAGGCGACCUGCUGGAACAUUACUGACGCUGAUUGCGCGAAAGCGUGGGGAGCAAACAGGAUUAGAUACCCUGGUAGUCCACGCCCUAAACGAUGGAUGCUAGUUGUUGGAGGGCUUAGUCUCUCCAGUAAUGCAGCUAACGCAUUAAGCAUCCCGCCUGGGGAGUACGGUCGCAAGAUUAAAACUCAAAGGAAUAGACGGGGACCCGCACAAGCGGUGGAGCAUGUGGUUUAAUUCGAAGAUACACGAAGAACCUUACCUAGGCUUGACAUUGAGAGAAUCCGCUAGAAAUAGUGGAGUGUCUAGCUUGCUAGACCUUGAAAACAGGUGCUGCACGGCUGUCGUCAGCUCGUGUCGUGAGAUGUUGGGUUAAGUCCCGCAACGAGCGCCAACCCCCUUUCUUAGUUGCUAACAGGUCAUGCUGAGAACUCUAAGGAUACUGCCUCCGUAAGGAGGAGGAAGGUGGGGACGACGUCAAGUCAUCAUGGCCCUUACGCCUAGGGCUACACACGUGCUACAAUGGGGUGCACAAAGAGAAGCAAUACUGCGAAGUGGAGCCAAUCUUCAAAACGCCUCUCAGUUCGGAUUGUAGGCUGCAACUCGCCUGCAUGAAGCUGGAAUCGCUAGUAAUCGCAAAUCAGCCAUGUUGCGGUGAAUACGUUCCCGGGUCUUGUACUCACCGCCCGUCACACCAUGGGAGUUGUGUUUGCCUUAAGUCAGGAUGCUAAACUAGCUACUGCCCACGGCACACACAGCGACUGGGGUGAAGUCGUAACAAGGUAACCGUAGGUGAACCUGCGGUUGGAUCACC